This 735-nucleotide ribosomal RNA is filed under the name uncultured Synechococcus sp. Its description in RNAcentral is "bacterial SSU rRNA". It matches the Rfam family "Bacterial small subunit ribosomal RNA", at positions 781 to 1515 of the family's 1533-position model. The record is from RNAcentral. Lineage: Bacteria; Bacillati; Cyanobacteriota; Cyanophyceae; Synechococcales; Synechococcaceae.
GAUACCCCUGUAGUCCUGGCCGUAAACGAUGAACACUAGGUGUCGGGGGAAUCGACCCCCUCGGUGUCGUAGCCAACGCGUUAAGUGUUCCGCCUGGGGAGUACGCACGCAAGUGUGAAACUCAAAGGAAUUGACGGGGGCCCGCACAAGCGGUGGAGUAUGUGGUUUAAUUCGAUGCAACGCGAAGAACCUUACCAGGGUUUGACAUCCUGCGAAUCCCUUGGAAACUUGGGAGUGCCUUCGGGAGCGCAGUGACAGGUGGUGCAUGGCUGUCGUCAGCUCGUGUCGUGAGAUGUUGGGUUAAGUCCCGCAACGAGCGCAACCCACGUCUUUAGUUGCCAGCAUUUAGUUGGGCACUCUAGAGAGACUGCCGGUGAUAAACCGGAGGAAGGUGUGGAUGACGUCAAGUCAUCAUGCCCCUUACAUCCUGGGCUACACACGUACUACAAUGCUACGGACAAAGGGCAGCAAACUCGCGAGAGCUAGCAAAUCCCCUAAACCGUGGCUCAGUUCAGAUCGUAGGCUGCAACUCGCCUACGUGAAGGAGGAAUCGCUAGUAAUCGCAGGUCAGCAUACUGCGGUGAAUACGUUCCCGGGCCUUGUACACACCGCCCGUCACACCAUGGAAGUUGGCCACGCCCGAAGUCGUUACUCCAACCCUUGUGGAGGAGGAUGCCGAAGGUGGGGCUGAUGACUGGGGUGAAGUCGUAACAAGGUAGCCGUACCGGAAGGUGC